GACGAACGCUGGCGGCGUGCCUAAUACAUGCAAGUUGAGCGCUGAAGGUUGGUACUUGUACCAACUGGAUGAGCAGCGAACGGGUGAGUAACGCGUGGGGAAUCUGCCUUUGAGCGGGGGACAACAUUUGGAAACGAAUGCUAAUACCGCAUAAAAACUUUAAACACAAGUUUUAAGUUUGAAAGAUGCAAUUGCAUCACUCAAAGAUGAUCCCGCGUUGUAUUAGCUAGUUGGUGAGGUAAAGGCUCACCAAGGCGAUGAUACAUAGCCGACCUGAGAGGGUGAGCGGCCACAUUGGGACUGAGACACGGCCCAAACUCCUACGGGAGGCAGCAGUAGGGAAUCUUCGGCAAUAGACGAAAGUCUGACUGAGCAACGCCGCGUGAGUGAAGAAGGUUUUCGGAUCGUAAAACUCUGUUGGUAGAGAAGAACGUUGGUGAGAGUGGAAAGCUCAUCAAGUGACGGUAACUACCCAGAAAGGGACGGCUAACUACGUG
Molecule: ribosomal RNA, 497 nt
Filed under: uncultured bacterium
Lineage: Bacteria
Description: partial 16S ribosomal RNA
Rfam family: Bacterial small subunit ribosomal RNA
Source: RNAcentral